RNAcentral lists this non-coding RNA (28 nucleotides) under Homo sapiens (human). The record is from RNAcentral. Lineage: Eukaryota; Metazoa; Chordata; Mammalia; Primates; Hominidae.
UCCAGCAAGGUGAAAGAGUGGACAAAGU